This 465-nucleotide ribosomal RNA is filed under the name uncultured bacterium. Its description in RNAcentral is "bacterial SSU rRNA". It matches the Rfam family "Bacterial small subunit ribosomal RNA", at positions 338 to 795 of the family's 1533-position model. The record is from RNAcentral.
CCUACGGGUGGCACCAGUGGGGAAUAUUGCACAAUGGGGGAAACCCUGAUGCAGCCAUGCCGCGUGUGUGAAGAAGGCCUUCGGGUUGUAAAGCACUUUCAGAGAGGAGGAAAGGUUGAUGCCUAAUACGUAUCAACUGUGACGUUACUCGCAGAAGAAGCACCGGCUAACUCCGUGCCAGCAGCCGCGGUAAUACGGAGGGUGCAAGCGUUAAUCGGAAUUACUGGGCGUAAAGCGCACGCAGGCGGUUGGAUAAGUUAGAUGUGAAAGCCCCGGGCUCAACCUGGGAAUCGCAUUUAAAACUGUCCAGCUAGAGUCUUGUAGAGGGGGGUAGAAUUCCAGGUGUAGCGGUGAAAUGCGUAGAGAUCUGGAGGAAUACCGGUGGCGAAGGCGGCCCCCUGGACAAAGACUGACGCUCAGGUGCGAAAGCGUGGGGAGCAAACAGGAUUAGAUACCCCUGUAGUC